RNAcentral lists this unclassified non-coding RNA (301 nucleotides) under Glomeraceae sp. RNAcentral's name for it is "partial contains 5.8S ribosomal RNA and internal transcribed spacer 2". The stretch from base 1 to 65 matches the Rfam family "5.8S ribosomal RNA", at positions 84 to 154 of the family's 154-position model. Lineage: Eukaryota; Fungi; Glomeromycota; Glomeromycetes; Glomerales; Glomeraceae. The record is from RNAcentral.
GUGAAUCAUCGAAUUUUUGAACGCAAAUUGCACUCUCUUCGGAGAGUAUGCCUGUUUGAGGGUCAGUAUGAAUAAAAAUCGGCGUGUUGCUCUUUUGUGACGUUCCGGAGUUUGGGUCAUCUUAUAACAACACCCGUUCAGGGUAUUUUUAAGAGGCUUAAAAUUGACCUUUUUUGUGCAUUUUAGACGUACAUAAAUUUUUUUUUUAUCCGUCCGGAGUUUGCCAAAUCUUUAUUAGGUAUGACCAUGAUCGUUUGUGGCAUUUGUACCUAUAAUUUUAACUCAUAUUUUGACCUCAAAU